GGAGAGAGAGUUUUAUAAUUAAUUUUAGUUCUCUUCAAUAAAUUUUAUUCUUCAAAUUUUUUAUUAUUUCAAGAGAUUGAAUUUCGAAGAUUCAAGCUCUACAUUUGCCUGUACGUUCGUGUCUAAGUUUGUGAUCCCAACAAUAAGACGCAAGGAAGCGCAUUAAGACCGUUGGUCAGCAGUAAUCCGUCCUAGCACAUAUAGAUCAAUGCUACACGCCACACUGUUUUGUGGCAAUCGGUGCGGGUGGAGCAUGGUAGGGAGGUAACACUAGUGUUGUUGUAUUUUCUUUAUUUAUUUUUUUGAUAGUCGAUGAUGAGUACUGCUGUUGUGGACUGAAUUUGUUUAACGGAUUUGCAUUAUUUAUUUCAUUUCUUACAAUUUUGGUUGUGAUAUUUCUUCCUUUCGGUUGAAAAAAAAUUCCUGUAUGUCUGUUCUCAUGUAUUUUUCUUGUAAAAACUUUUGCUUCAAUUCUUGUAAAAAAAAAAUAGUUUGCAAUGGUUAUUUGUAAAAUUUUCUCCUUCAAUUCUUCUUUGUUUCUCUCUGUGAGGAUCAUAUCUUUUGGCCCAUUCUGCAUUUGACUGUUAUUUCCAUUGACUGCCAUUAUGUACUUUCUUCUUUGUUUUGUUAAUGUCUUCAUUGACUCUUGUUAUAUGGAGAAAUAUUGGCGGCCCAAACCUACCAUUUGUAGAUUGUUUUGUCCCUUUAAUGUAUAUGACAAUAUACCCUUUCUGUGGAAAAUAGGGUACUGCCAAUGGUUAGGGUUUAACCAAAGUUGUCACUUUUGUAUGCUUUUACACUGUCCUUUGUAGAGAUUCCCAGACUUUUUUUGUGUAUGGUCAUUCAAGGCAUAUUAACUUCCCUUAGACGCCCCUUAUAUAUUCACCUUUCCUCUUUUGUUUUACCAUACAUUUUUGUGAUUUCUAUUGUUGUCUUGUUCUAUCUUUUGCUACUUUAUGUUCGGUUUUGAAUUUUUUUCCCAUAUUUGCAUCAUUGUCAAUUCGUGUUACCCUUCUUCUGCCUUGUUUUGUCUUAUGGAAUUCCUUUUACAAAUCUCUUGUCUGUAUGUAUGUUUCUGCCUUCUUUUCUCACGUAUGUUUGUGUCUUGGUUUCUCACCUACAUUCCAUAUUUCCUUAUUUGGUACUCAAUUAUGUUUUGGUGUAUUCUCAUGUAAGUUCUUUCCAUAUUUACAUAUUUCCAUACUCACGUAAAUUAUCGAUAUUCACUUUAUUUCAUGCCUUGCGUGCAUUCUUUGUCAUUUCAUUUGUCUGCUCAUAUGUUUUGUUCUAUGUUUUUCCUACCUCCUCAUUGAUGUUUCUACGACUAUGGAAUCUGGUUCAACUUAUUGAACCGAUUUAUUAACUCUGAGAAUGCUUAACAUAUAUUUUGAAAAAUGAUUUUUAUGCAUAAAAACUAUUCUUUUAAUAAUCAUCAUUGAAUUUUCAUUUCGGGUCCUUGCUUCUACGUACAAGGUAUGUAAUCCUUCCGUUUUAGAUUUAUUUCUCUUCACAUAUCCUGCAUUUAAAUUACUUGACUUGUUUUCGGUGUUUGUCGUAUCGUAACUUAUUUACUUUUCGUAUGCAGAAUGUUUGUGGUCAUCCCACCCUUGUAAGAGGUAUUAAGGAUUUGCCUUUGUUGUAGACUCAAAUUUCAUAUUGUAAAGUAUGCAAUUUCACACUAUUUGUAGCGUAUAAACUAUUGGUUUUGUAAUUAAUUUUGGUAUGGACAUUUCAUCUAUUUAAUAAAAAGCAUAUUAUUUUGUA
Molecule: long non-coding RNA, 1764 nt
Organism: Cucumis melo (muskmelon)
Lineage: Eukaryota; Viridiplantae; Streptophyta; Magnoliopsida; Cucurbitales; Cucurbitaceae
Exons: 2
Source: RefSeq, a predicted model, not a curated record